Molecule: long non-coding RNA, 3599 nt
Filed under: Homo sapiens (human)
Lineage: Eukaryota; Metazoa; Chordata; Mammalia; Primates; Hominidae
Description: HSALNT0150288
Source: RNAcentral
CUGGACUAGACAGAAGACUACAGUUCAAUAAGAAGGAAACACAUUCAUUUUCAGUAUUGUUAAUAAAGAAGCUUACCUAAAAGAAGGAAAUCAAAACAAGGAAAUAAAACCUUCAGCUGCAGCUAAGAAUUUGGAGGUUACUGAAGGAGGUUACUUUUUCAAGAGCAGAAGUAAGGAUUCCACUGAAUUUGCUCACCAAAGAUAAGUCAGCAAAGAAAACUUACUGAAGAAUACAGACAGCAUAUCAGCUCCUGCUUUCCAGACAAACUUCCUGGGUCUUGGGAAGAAGAAAGCCUCAGACUAAGAACUCUCUCUGGACUCAGACAGCCUGAAUUCAAAUCCCAUCUCUAUUCUUACUAGUCAUAUGAACACAGGAGAACCAUAUCCAUUCAGCUCACUUUGGACCACCUGUGGAGCCUGAUAACCAGGGAACAGAGAACCUGUUGAGAUCCAAAUUUGUGUGCCAGAUCACAAACUCAUCUGAAGCAGAUGCCACGUGUUACACUGUUAUGUCUCUCAGAGACUCCAGCACUUUGAAAGUAUUAGGCCUUGCUUAUUGAGAUGAAUAUUUUUUUCUAGGCAUGUCCCAAAGUUCUCAGCAUAGCUACAACCCUGAUUUUCACAGGAUUUUCAUUAAAAUUAGGUUCUAGAGCAUUACUUCCCUAAUGUGCAAUGCAACUUACGUUUAGUUUUCAAAUCAAAAUUAGUUUUGUUUUUCCACUGUCUUUGUCUUUGAAAAUAUUGAACUUGGGAUUUCCAAAAUUAUAAUUAGCAAUUAUUUUUACAUAUCUUUUAUAUACAUAACUUUUACAAUGGCUGCCAUUAUCAUGUAGGUUCUUAGGAAGUGUUUCUGAUCCUUGUAAAUAAAAGUGAAAGAAGAAAUCUUUACUGCUUGCUGACCCAUGUGACUAACCUUGAAAUCAGAGAGGCAGAUUCAUUUAAAACAAACUUGCAAACUGUUAAGCAAAGUACUGAAUCUCUGUGACUUGACCAAAAGUAAUUCAGACUUGACUAUUCCAGGCUCCCUUCUAUCUCUGUAGCAACCCAUGCAUCAUAGACUCCAGUUGCAAUGGAUGGUCAAGGAAUCUGCUGUGCCUUUUGAGUCUCUCCAUUUUAUAUUGCCAAAUUUAUCUUCCUUUAAUACUUCACUUCACAUAAGACACUAAGAUAAACAAGGAUGCAACUCACUUAUAUUUCAAAAUAGUACCUAGUGGUUAAAAGUACUUGUUCUGAAAGCAACUCUAUUUUUCUAGUUCUAACAUGUCUCCAACUAGUUAUCUCACCUUGAGCUUGGCACAUAAUCACUCCAUCUUACUUUUGCAUCUGUGACACAAGAAAAAUACCACCCACCUCAACAUAGAUCUUAUGAAGAUUAAAAUAAGAUUAUGAAAGUAAAAUGCUCAGCACAAUGUCUAAACGAAAAUAAAUGCUCAGCAAGUAGGAGCUACUAUAAUUAUUAUCCAGAUCAAAUAUUUUCUCCUCUAUGAAGCUUUCUUAUUCUUCCCCAGCUGGAAUUACUUAUUUUCUUCCUUGCUUUCUACACCACACUUUAGUCACCACCAUGCUGGCACUUGUCUCACCGCAUUAUAAUUAUUUAUGUGCCUGUGUUCCAUAACCAGAAUAUGGGACUUAAGCUUCUUUAUACCUCCAGCAUAAUUGUUUCAUGUGUGCUUUUAGGUAAUGGAGUAAAAUGGAUGAAUGAGUGAAUGCGACUAUAGUACUAAAUGCUCUUAGAUAAAGAUGUAAUUAUUCUUAAGUGAUAAAAUUAUUCGAACAUGAGUAGUUCAGAUAAUGAGAGACUGUCAUAGAAUUACUUGAUAAAAUCUAGUCAAUAAAAUGGCUUGGCAAUAUAACCUUUAUGAUUUCUUUAAACAAUCAUUCAUUUCUUUCUGAAGAUGAGAAGAGGAGAUUCCUUCUCCCAUCUUUAUAUUUCAACAAUGAUUAGAAAACAAAUUGAUCUCUGGGAUCAGUGCCCAAUACCAUUAAAGUGGUAUACAUCUUACAAUUCUUAAUUAAUUUGUGGCAUACAUAUACCAGUCUCCACAGCCAGCUUCAUCUGCAUACAGCAGCAUAAUCACUUUUUUCCUUAUAGUAAAGACAUAUUAUGAGUCAUCAAAGUCUUCUCCGGGGGUUGUGGUUAUCAUCUGGUAAUCACACCCUUGGGAGGUUAAAAACACUUAUCUUUGGAUCAUGACUUGCAAUGCCCCAGGGGUGUGAUUAUCUCAGGCAACUCACACUUUCUGUCAUGCCUAAUUGCUUAAUUAUUAUAGCUGCAAGUUCACACCACCAUACAGGAACUCAUGUUGUGUCAGCAUUUCCACUAUAAAUUCCUUUUUCAAGAGUCUAUAACUCAGCCAUAAAAAAAAAAAAAAAAAAAACCUAUGGUCCAUUGAAGCACUGCAGUAAGAGUCUUAUUCCAGGAAACAUUUCUGUAAUAGGUUAAUUGUAUCUUAAAAAUUGGGUCCUGAUUCUCAUAGUUAGUUCACCAAAGAAAUAAAUGCUAAUUAAAUGUCUCUAAAUUAUAUAUUUUUCUGUAUGGCUGGGUAAAUAAUGUAAAUCCUAAAGACAUAAAUAUUAUUUUUUAAAUAUAACAAGAAUGGCUCAUACAAUUUCCAGUUUUUUGGAAAUACACUUACACAUAUUUAUAAAAUAUUAUAUAAGUAGAAUGAGCUAAACCAUAGUUAGAGAACAUUGUCAUAUGCAAUCAUGUACUACAUAAUAUUUCAGUCAGUGGACAGCAUGUGGCAGUGGUCACAUAAGAUUAUAACGCAGCUGAAAAAUUCCUGUUGUCUAAUGACAUCAUGGCUGUCAUAACUGUCAUGGCCGUCAUGGCCAUCUGAACAUUGUAGUACAAUGUAUUCCUCAUGUGUUUGUGGUGAUGCUGAUGUAAACAAGCAUCUGCACUGCCAGUUGUAUAAAAGUGUAGCACAUACAAUUAUGUACAUACAAUUAUGCACACACAAUUAUGUACAACACAUAAUAUUUUAUAAUGACAAUAAACAAUUUUGUUACCGGUUUAUGUAUUCACUGUACUAUACCUUUCAUCAUUAUUUUAGAGUGUACUCUUUCUACUUAUAUAUAAAAAAAAGUUAAUUGUAAAACAGCCUCUAGCAGGUCCUUCAGGACAUAUUCCAGAAGAAGGCAUUGUUAUCAUAGGAGAUGACGGUUCCAUGCGUGUUAUUGCCCCUGAAGACCUUCCAGUGGGUCAAGAUAUGGAGGUGAAAGACAGUGAUAUUGAUGAUCCUGACCCUGCGUAGGCCAAGUUUUCUUGACUUCACUUAAUCUGCUGGAAGCUGAUCCUUUUCAUGUCCAUGUUUAAGGAAGCGUUGAAGGUCACGUCACUCAAAGCCAACAUCAGCAGGCAUCCUACCAAGAUAAUCUCUGAAGAGGUCAGAGGUGAGAAUGACACAGAGAAGAGGCAGAUUUUACCAGUCCAGUUCAAGGAAUUUCUCACUCUUUCUUAUAAGGGAACUCUUUUCAAUAGAAAAGGAAAGGUUGCCAGUAAAAAGACAAUGGAAUUCCUUCCAUUUUAUGUAGAUUUAUUUUUUUUCAUGAGAAAAAGGAAUAAAGCAUUUAUUUUCUCAGUGUUUUAAGGGAAG